This 465-nucleotide ribosomal RNA is filed under the name Vreelandella stevensii. RNAcentral describes it as "partial 16S ribosomal RNA". It matches the Rfam family "Bacterial small subunit ribosomal RNA", at positions 338 to 795 of the family's 1533-position model. The record is from RNAcentral. Lineage: Bacteria; Pseudomonadati; Pseudomonadota; Gammaproteobacteria; Oceanospirillales; Halomonadaceae.
CAUACGGGGGGCUGCAGUGGGGAAUAUUGGACAAUGGGCGAAAGCCUGAUCCAGCCAUGCCGCGUGUGUGAAGAAGGCCUUCGGGUUGUAAAGCACUUUCAGUGGGGAAGAAAGCCUUGGGGCUAAUACCCUCGAGGAAGGACAUCACCCACAGAAGAAGCACCGGCUAACUCCGUGCCAGCAGCCGCGGUAAUACGGAGGGUGCGAGCGUUAAUCGGAAUUACUGGGCGUAAAGCGCGCGUAGGCGGUCUGAUAAGCCGGUUGUGAAAGCCCCGGGCUCAACCUGGGAACGGCAUCCGGAACUGUCAGGCUAGAGUGCAGGAGAGGAAGGUAGAAUUCCCGGUGUAGCGGUGAAAUGCGUAGAGAUCGGGAGGAAUACCAGUGGCGAAGGCGGCCUUCUGGACUGACACUGACGCUGAGGUGCGAAAGCGUGGGUAGCAAACAGGAUUAGAUACCCUAGUAGUC